UACGGAGGGGGCUAGCGUUGUUCGGAAUUACUGGGCGUAAAGCGCGCGUAGGCGGCUUUGUAAGUUAGAGGUGAAAGCCCAGGGCUUAACCCUGGAAUUGCCUUUAAGACUGCAUCGCUAGAAUCGUGGAGAGGUGAGUGGAAUUCCGAGUGUAGAGGUGAAAUUCGUAGAUAUUCGGAAGAACACCAGUGGCGAAGGCGACAUACUGGGUCAUGACUGACGCUGAGGCUCGAAAGCGUGGGGAGCAAACAGG
Molecule: ribosomal RNA, 253 nt
Filed under: uncultured bacterium
Lineage: Bacteria
Description: partial 16S ribosomal RNA
Rfam family: Bacterial small subunit ribosomal RNA
Source: RNAcentral